Molecule: transfer RNA, 66 nt
Filed under: Paradyschiria parvula
Lineage: Eukaryota; Metazoa; Arthropoda; Insecta; Diptera; Streblidae
Description: tRNA-Pro
Source: RNAcentral
CAAGAAAUAGUUUAAAAAAAAUACUAAUUUUGGAGAUUAAUGAUAAGAAUUAUUUUUUUUUCUUGA